Molecule: small nuclear RNA, 325 nt
Filed under: Vicugna pacos (alpaca)
Lineage: Eukaryota; Metazoa; Chordata; Mammalia; Artiodactyla; Camelidae
Description: 7SK RNA (ENSVPAG00000017097.1)
Rfam family: 7SK RNA
About the family: 7SK was discovered as an abundant small nuclear RNA in the mid-70s but a possible function has only recently been suggested. Two independent studies have found that 7SK RNA binds the CDK9/cyclin T complex (known as elongation factor P-TEFb).
Source: Rfam by way of RNAcentral
GGAUGUGAGGGUGAUCUGGCUGUGCCGUCUGUCACCCCAUUGAUCGCCAGGGUUGAUUUGGCAGAUCUGGCUGGCCAGGCGGGUGUCCCCUUCCUCCAUCACUGCUCCACGCGCGUCCCUCCCGAAGCUGCACGCUCAGUGGAAGAGGAGGACCUUCCCCGAUAGAAGAGGACCAUUCUUCUCGGUCAAGGGUGUACGAGUAGCUGCGCUCCCCUACUAGAGCCUCCAAUCAAGCUCUCAAAAAGCGGCUCCACUAGCCAAGAUCAGCUGACCCUGGCACAGGUCAUGCGACCCGCGGAUUCUUUGUAAGUAACACAUGGUUUUC